RNAcentral lists this long non-coding RNA (346 nucleotides) under Felis catus (domestic cat). Its description in RNAcentral is "lncRNA (ENSFCAG00000043204.2)". Lineage: Eukaryota; Metazoa; Chordata; Mammalia; Carnivora; Felidae. The record is from RNAcentral.
AUGAAAUUGUUUUGGAAGGGAUGAGGAGAGCAGGAAGUUCCUGAGUCUAAAGGAGUGGAAGAGUGUGACCAGAGUGCUGGUAUGAGAUGGCAAGAGAGCUCAACGCUGAAAGAGAAUUAGAGGACACAGCAAGGUAGAAAACACGUUAGCCCGGUUGCUGUUGCUACUGAAUACGAGUGGUUAUGCCCAUAAUAAAACAUCAUUCUAGGUGGUAUCUGAGUCCAGCACUGAGGGAACAAACUGCCCAUUUAUGCCACGUGAAAGGCACUGUGGAAGAAGAAGGACCCAGGAAGAGAAGAGUGCAAAGAAAACUUCAUCUGAAAUAAGCAAGCUGCAUGGCAUCGGC